Molecule: long non-coding RNA, 766 nt
Filed under: Anser brachyrhynchus (Pink-footed goose)
Lineage: Eukaryota; Metazoa; Chordata; Aves; Anseriformes; Anatidae
Description: lncRNA (ENSABRG00000007868.1)
Source: RNAcentral
CUUCUUCCUGGUAGGACCAAGUUCUUGCAGGACCGCCAGGGCCAGAAGCUGCUGCUGGUAGACAACAGGAACAAAAGUGCCUUCUUCAGGGAAAGACGAGAGUGCAUCCACGUGGAUUUGAACUGCGAAGGGCACCUGAUCAGCAAAGAAAGGUUAAAGAGAGUAGGAUGUGGUGAGAAGAACAACCUCUGGGGCAACCAGCAUGCUGCAGACACAGGGUCUGAAGUUAGGAAGGUGGAGGUAGCUGUUUUUCAUCGCCUUCUGACUGGCUGCCACCUGGGGAUAGUCCACCAUGGCUGGAUCUGGGCAGGAUUUGAAGUAUUCACCAAACCAUGCUGUGUCGAGUCUCUGAAAACUACUUGGCAAGUGAUCCUUCAGGAGAGACAGUUUCCCAUUGAGGCUUCAGGGUAAUGUGAACUUCCAUCUCUGGCAAGCUGCUGUACUGAGCACUCACAGAAUCCAGACUUUUCAGGGGUAAAGGAAGUUUUCUCUGUGGAAGUGAAGUUCCAUCAACAAUCAGAAGAGCCUAUAGAUAGGAAAUAUUACCUUUACACUCAACCAGACUGCCUCAGUUGUCUUGAGUUGACUACAGAUUUCAGCAUGUUCAAAGCAUAGCAUUUUUACCUCUGUUAUAAAUUACAGAAAUUAAUAUAUAUAUAUAUUCAAUUUUGAGUUUUUAAAAGAAAAUAGAUUUCAAACAAUGGCAUCACUUGGGGGGGUGUCUUUUUUUCUUAUAGUGUUGAAAUAAAAUGCUCAGAGAACUUCA